ACUCAAACUUGGGUCUCCUGAUUUCCAACGUAGGCUUAUUUCCAUUCUAUUGUGCUCCUUUUCUAGCUUUGAUGGGAAGCAUCCCUGGUGGGAAAAGCACUGACUAUGAGUUCAAGUCCUGCCUCUGGCUCUUGCUGACUUUGUGACCUGAAGCAAGUCACAACCUAUCUGUGCCUCACUUUCCUCAUCUGUAAAAUCAAGAGAUUGAACUAGACGGCCUCUGAGGGCCCCUUGAACUCUAAAUCUCUGUGCCAUGAAGCUUGUGUGCAGCUACUAUCCCAGCCAUUCAACAAUCCCAGUAAGUACGAGCUUACUUACUAUUCAGCAUCAGUAUAGUCUCUCUUUUGCCCUUCAGCUUUCAUCUGGUGAAUGUCUUUCAGCAAUCUCCAGGCUUGUCAGCACCACUAUUAGAUGGUGGUCAGGACCAGGGCAAGCUGAAGGGGAAGGCUCAAAUCAAUCAGUUUUGCUAGGAAUGAAUUGUUUUGGUAAAAAGAUACAGAGAGGAAGUUUGAAAUUUGUGCCUGAAAAGACCUGUUUCCCCUCAUUAGCACAGAUAAUUAUGGCCUCUAAUCAUCAGCAUCCACUUUUUCUUGCUGACUUCCUGGGUGGUCUACAGUUUACCCCCAAAGCCUACCCCACCAUUACAGCUUCCCUUUUCCCAGAGGAAGAAGAGGAUGAAGAGGAUGAAAAGAACCACGAGUCUCCCUGGAGAGACUGCAAUCGCAAACAAGUUUCUCCCAGAAGCACUGUGCUUACAGAAGCAACAUGGCAGUGGAGAGAGUAGAUGGUAUGCUGGGCUUGGAGUGGAGCUCUUCUGGGGUAGGUACUUACUUGUUGUAUGACCCUGUUCAAUUGUCUAACCUUAAUCUGCCUCAGUUUCCUUGCCUUGGAAAUGGGAAUAAAUAAUACCUGGACUUCUUACUUUACA
This 928-nucleotide long non-coding RNA is filed under the name Monodelphis domestica (gray short-tailed opossum). Its description in RNAcentral is "lncRNA (ENSMODG00000047152.1)". The record is from RNAcentral. Lineage: Eukaryota; Metazoa; Chordata; Mammalia; Didelphimorphia; Didelphidae.